CAAGCCCUGGAAACGGGGUCUAAUACCGGAUGGGACUGCCGGCCGCAUGGUCUGGUGGUGGAAAGCUCCGGCGGUACAGGAUGAGCUCGCGGCCUAUCAGCUUGUUGGUGGGGUGAUGGCCUACCAAGGCGACGACGGGUAGCCGGCCUGAGAGGGCGACCGGCCACACUGGGACUGAGACACGGCCCAGACUCCUACGGGAGGCAGCAGUGGGGAAUAUUGCACAAUGGGCGCAAGCCUGAUGCAGCGACGCCGCGUGAGGGAUGACGGCCUUCGGGUUGUAAACCUCUUUCAGCAGGGAAGAAGCCUUUAAAAGUGACGGUACCUGCAGAAGAAGCACCGGCUAACUACGUGCCAGCAGCCGCGGUAAUACGUAGGGUGCAAGCGUUGUCCGGAAUUAUUGGGCGUAAAGAGCUCGUAGGCGGCGUGUCGCGUCGGAUGUGAAAGCCCGGGGCUUAACCCCGGGUUGGCAUUCGAUACGGGCAGGCUAGAGUUCGGUAGGGGAGAUCGGAAUUCCUGG
RNAcentral lists this ribosomal RNA (520 nucleotides) under uncultured Streptomyces sp. RNAcentral describes it as "bacterial SSU rRNA". It matches the Rfam family "Bacterial small subunit ribosomal RNA", at positions 144 to 673 of the family's 1533-position model. The record is from RNAcentral. Lineage: Bacteria; Bacillati; Actinomycetota; Actinomycetes; Kitasatosporales; Streptomycetaceae.